CAGAGGGUAGUUUAAUUAGAAAAUAUUAAUUUUGGGGAUUAAUGAAAAGGUGAAUACUUUUCCUCUGA
Molecule: transfer RNA, 68 nt
Filed under: Mecopoda elongata
Lineage: Eukaryota; Metazoa; Arthropoda; Insecta; Orthoptera; Tettigoniidae
Description: tRNA-Pro
Source: RNAcentral